UGAGGAUUUGUGGACUUCUGUCAUUAGGC
This 29-nucleotide non-coding RNA is filed under the name Rattus norvegicus (Norway rat). The record is from RNAcentral. Lineage: Eukaryota; Metazoa; Chordata; Mammalia; Rodentia; Muridae.